This 253-nucleotide unclassified non-coding RNA is filed under the name uncultured Halomonadaceae bacterium. RNAcentral's name for it is "contains 16S-23S intergenic spacer region". It matches the Rfam family "Bacterial small subunit ribosomal RNA", at positions 524 to 776 of the family's 1533-position model. Lineage: Bacteria; Pseudomonadati; Pseudomonadota; Gammaproteobacteria; Oceanospirillales; Halomonadaceae. The record is from RNAcentral.
UACGGAGGGUGCGAGCGUUAAUCGGAAUCACUGGGCGUAAAGCGUGCGUAGGCGGCUUGAUAAGCCGGUUGUGAAAGCCCCGGGCUCAACCUGGGAACGGCAUCCGGAACUGUCAGGCUAGAGUGCAGGAGAGGAAGGUAGAGUUCCGGGUGUAGCGGUGAAACGCGUAGAGAUCGGGAGGAAUACCAGUGGCGAAGGCGGCCUUCUGGACUGACACUGACGCUGAGGUACGAAAGCGUGGGUAGCAAACAGG